RNAcentral lists this long non-coding RNA (14407 nucleotides) under Olea europaea subsp. europaea. Lineage: Eukaryota; Viridiplantae; Streptophyta; Magnoliopsida; Lamiales; Oleaceae. The record is from RNAcentral.
AUUGUAGAUGCCAUUUCUUCAUUUUCUAUUCAUAUAGACACAUAUAUCCAAAAUGCUGAAAUGGGAAAAAGAAGCAGAGAAAAUCGGUGGAAAAUGAAACAGGAAGAAAGGAGGGAAAAAAAUAAAAAAUAAAAAAAUUGGUGGUGUCGGCCAACGACGCAUAGGAGGGAAGAUACACUUCUUCAAGUAUUGGGUUGUCUUUCAUAUCCUCAUUUCUUCUACAAUCUCAAGUGAGUAAGUUUUAUACAAACUUAGAUUUCUUAUUUUAGCUCAACAAGUGAAAAAUAUGCCCAAUUUCUUGAUGGUCUAGUAUGGAUAAACUAUUUUUUUUAAGCUUUUAAGUUAUGUGAAUCAAAUAUAUAUUAAUUCUGGGGUUCGAACUUUGUGGACGGAAAUUCAGCUAGUAGUUGGGUUAGAAUUGAAAUUUAAAUAAAGAAACCAAAAGGCAAGUGAGGAAUUGUCAAUUAAUGAUUUGAUUGGUACCUGUAUAUGUAUGUGUAUAGUGACUGAAAUUAUUAAAAAGGGAACAUACCUAAUUACAUAGCUUGAUGCAAGUGUGGGAAGUUGUAAACUGGUGAAGAAAGAGAUGAAAUAGUGUUUAAUUGGAAUUAAAUUUAGUUUAAAUGUGGUAAGUUCUUUAUUUAAUUAAUUUUAUUAUUACAGUAGCAAUGAAAAGGGACAAGAUGAAGAGUGUAGAUACAAGAUGUUGGAAGGCAGUAUGUUAUUGUGCUAAUGUAGUAGGGAAAUGAAUGUGGAAGAAGAACAUAUUCUGUAAAUAAAUCGGGCUUCGUAAACAAAAAAAUGUUAUGCUGUAUGGAUAUUAAAAAGGGAAUAAAGGGGUUGCGUAAGGAAUGAAUUAAGUUGUGUAAAGCGGUUAUAUAUUUAUAAGGUAGUGAUUUUAAGAAAGUAUAGUAAUUUAAUGGAUUUGAUUCUGUGUUGUGAUAGUUUGGCAAAUAAUCAAAGAGGAAAAGAGUUGGAGAAAUAGAGGUGAAGGUAGUGACGUGCAAGCUUGGAAAUGCUCGUCAAUUUAAUCAAAUUUCUAUCCAUAAAUCGGUGAGUGGAAAAAUAUAAAUAUUUUUAAAAUAUUUAUAAAUUAAGUAUAUUGUCAAAGUAUGUGCAAUUAUGUGUUCGAAUUAUAUGGUUAUUAUGGAAAUCUAUUUUAUUAUGAUACAUGUGAAAUAUAAAAGAUUAUUUAUGGUAUAUUUGUGACUUGCUAUAUAAGACAUGUGAUAUUGAGAUUUGUUUGGUAUGUGAGACAUGCAAUAUUGAGAUCGGCCAGAAAAGUACCCAUGAUUAUAUAUUUCUUCUAGUUCACAGAGGGGCCUUGGCCGUGUUCUAUCCUACACGGAGGGUCUUGACUUGACAUUGGUCUUGAUCGUGUACAUAUAGUUCACAGAGGGGUCUUGGCCGUGUUCUAGAAUUGAUUAUGAGAGAUCUUUGAGACCGACUUUCGUUCACAGAGGGGGCCAAAGGCCCAUGGCGAAAGUUCUUAGUCCAAGGGGCGGAUUAUAUAUUUCAGUCAGAGGGUACAUUUUUUGUGGAUUUUUAAUGAGAUUAUAGCAUGGUUAUCAACUGAUGUCUAUAUCAUGAUUUUAAGAUGAUAUUUUAUGACCUUAUGUGAAUAUUUCACUUUUUGGCUAUAAUUACAUGAUGGUAGCUUGUGAAUUAUCAAAUGAUAUAAAUUUGAUAUUCGAUAAAAAUAUAUAAAUGAAAAAGUAUAACUAUUUCAAACUUCUCCACUCACUGAGCUAUCAACUCAUAUAUUUUUCCAUCCUUUUUAGCUGGAAGAGCCUAAUGAUUUCAGAAUGAGAGCCACACGACAUGUUGAAUAUUAUAACUCAUAUUGAUGAAGCAUGAAGUAAAUAAUUUGGACCCAUCGCAUAUGUUUUACAUAAGUAUUUGAUUUUGUUGCAUUUUUUGAAAUAACUCAUAGUCAGCCUUGGUGGUGGAUCUGACAUCUAGUCAGCAUCUAUCAUCGGCACACGUCACAUUUCGAGUCCACUAGGGUGAUUCGAGACGGGUCGUGUCAUCUCCUUAAUGCUAUCCCUUGUGCUAGUACUUCAAUUAACUCAGGAUUGAUAGCCUCAUCAUGGAGUGUUUUGAUCAUUAAUAUGUUGUUCAUCAUUGUUAAACUGUUCAAAAACUAUAGUAACAACAACUUUCUCUGAAUGGAUGACCUGGUUGUCUAUAUCACAAGUUAGAAGAACUUUCAUUUAUCAAGAUACCUUUAGUUCCAACAUUAAAAUGCAAGGUCAUAGGAAUUUCAACAAACUGGUUAUUGAGAUUUAUUUUAUACAAGCCAGCGCAUAAAAUACUAGAACCAAGAAAUAAAUUAUUCUUAAACAUACUGAUUCUUUUAUUCCCAAGCUUAAAGAAAUAUCCGUCAACAUCAAGUUUAGAAAUUGAAAUUAAAUUUCUAGAAAUAGAAGGAACGUAAAGUGUCUAAAGCAAAUCUAAAUGAUAAUUAGUAUCUAAAAACAAACAAUAGGUUCCAACAGCAAAAACUAGAACUUUGACCACAUUCUCCAUGACAACGAAGUUUUCAUUUGGACUUAGGAUCUGGUAUGUAAGGAAUCUCUACAUCGUAUAUGAAACAUGAACAUUAGAACCUGAAUCAAACCACCAAGUAUUAGAAAGAAUUUCAGUAAGAUGAGAUUCAAAACAUGCGCAAGCGAAAGGCUUACCUUUCUCUUAAAACCAUGCCUUAUGUUUGGGGCAAUCAUUGCGGCAAAAGUGACAUCUACUAUUGUUUUGCUCUUUCUUGUAAGCCCAGCAACAUUAUGAGGCUCCUUAGCUUUAUGUGUUCCAUGCUUGAUGUCCUCUCUUGGCAUUUUCCUUUCUUUUUGGCUCCAUAAUUUUCAAGGUUGACUAAAUGAUGUCCUCAUUACUUAUAUCUUGUCUCCUCUUGAACAAGUAUACUGGCCAUUUAUUCACGUUCCCAUUUAUCCUUAAUAAUGCUGUUGUGAAUUUGAAAUGACAUAUGUUGAGGAUGCAAGAAAUUCUUAACAAAUUGAACGGGAAAGACUCAUCCACUUUCAUCCCAAGAGCCUCGAGUUUGGCGGCUAGAUUUGUCUUUUCAAUUAUAUGCUCAUGCAUCCCACGGGUAAUAUCGAACUUCAUGUUGGUUAGUUGAGCCAUUGAUGUCCCAACUAGAGACUUGUCAGUAGAUCGAAAAAAUAUUCCAUCAUUUUCAACCAGGCUUAAGUGUCGAAAUAGACGAAUCUAGCUAAUGUUGCAAUACAAGAACUAAGACUACAAAAUAAAUAAACAAAAAAUCUCACAACAUUAAUGCUUUGAGUUAACAACUAUAAAUAUGAACAUGCACAUGAGCAAUUCUACCACAGUCCAACUUUGAGUUCUAAUUAUAGUAUACUAAUUAACAAUUACGGUGACUCCCUUUCACCUAGGAAUGAUCUGUGAUAUUAGGUCCACAAUUUCAAAUAGAUCUGCUACCGAGGUAUCUAAUGCCUACUUGAACUAAAGAUACUCAAUUACUAUCCUAAUUCAGUAAAUCAAUCACCUAGAAGUGGUGCACAUUUGGGCCAAUCCAUAAUAUCUAGUGGUUCAAAAACUGGAAUUUAUAAUUGGAUUAAACUAGUUGUACAUUCCUAGUGUACAGUAAGUUUGACAUUGUGUGAUAUGUAGAAAACUGUGCGUUGAUUUGUAUAAGUAUGGUUUAAAUUAAUGACCAUGAUUGUUGUCAUAUCAAACGAUGUCAAAUAUAAUGUCAAACACAACGUAUAUGUAGCAGAAUUGUUUUUAAUUUGCCAAGGCAUUAUCCUAAUACAUGGGAAAGGGCAAUAUAUGACUUCAUAUCUAUCAAACAUUCAAGUUGGGCCACUUUGGCAGCUACCAAACUAUAUCAUAAUAUAGAUAUUUAGUCAAAAUAAUAACUGUGUACAUAAGAUAAUUCAGCAAUAAUUGUAAUCAUCAAAACAAAGCAUGGCCAUUAUAAUCAAUAGAUGGCAAUGACUGUAAAAGAAUCAAAUCAGUUUCUUGGCAACAUCAUUUGAUAUUGAUAAAACAUACUACCAUAAUUCAAGAGAAAAGUGUAUGCAUACAAAAUGUCAAUUGACCACAAUAUUAAAAAAAAUGCAAUUUGUCAACUCGAUGUUCAGAAUAAGGUGGCCGAAAUAGGAAAAGUCAAUUGACCACAAUAUUAAAAAAAAUGCAAUUUGUCAACUCGAUGUUCAGAAUAAGGUGGCCGAAAUUAAAAAAAAAAAAAAAAAAAAAAAAAAAAAAAGCUGAAUGGCAUGGUGGCUGAUUUUAUUAAUUACAUCAUAGACAAAAUGGCGAUGUAUCGUGAAUCCAAAUAAAUGGAACUAGGAAUGAAAUAAAAAAGAAUUAUUCUUGUUGAAAAGAGCCACAUCACCCCCUGUUUGAACAAAGCCUACGUGACCCUAUUCAUGUAGUACAGGUCAACAAAGAACGGGUGGUUUUCUUCUUUCAUAUUUGAAUAUGUGCAGAAAAACUAAACUUAAAAACUUUACUCUUUCCAAUGAAAAUUCCAAUAACCAAAGAAAGGCACUAAACCAUUCUGUCCGUUAGACUUACUAAACAAUAUGAAUCCAAAUUGAUAAUAGCAAGCUGUCAGAAAUACUCAGUCUCUCAAAAUUCGAUAAGAACAAUGAAAUAAUAAAGCAGAAGUAAACGAGCAAAAAAAAACACCCAUGGGAAUUGCAAAAUGAACUGACCAGCUUAACACAGAGAAAUAGCAAACAGUGUUUCCGAAUGACAAGUCCAUAAGAACCAAUUACUCACGCAAGUUGCAAAUCUUAUUUACAGCAACAACAUAAAUUGAAAAAAUGAGAAUUCAAACCAAGGCUCUGAUAUCACAUGUAAUAUUAACUAUAAUACCCAAGAACGUGAAUAAUCAUGAUUCCCACUUACCAUAAUGCAGAAAGGAAUUGACAUACCUGAUUCCACAAGAGCAACCUUUGGAGAAGAAUGAAGGCACUAGAAUAUAGUUUCUCUCAAUUAAGUUGCACAAGAGUGAUGGAUAAUGUGUCUUUUAUAGGGCAGAGAGAAGACUAGUUUCUUUUUCAUAAUGAUUUUCUCUCCAUCAAAGAUUGAAUCUAAAUGGGAAAUAACAUUAUUAAUUGAUCUAGAAUUUUACUUACACAAACUGUAUAGGAUUGUAACCUUUGACUAAUCCAAAUAAUUAAGUAAAUAUCUGCCACAUCAUGUGGGAUAAUUUCUUACAUGUUGAUCACAAUCUUUGCAAUUAGAAACAUUCAAUGUUAGCAUAAGAUUACUGUAAAUUCCAUUAUACUCGAACUGACAUAGUACCCAACUGGGAUUAACGAACUGCCAAAUUUCUUGCACCCAUCUGCUAGUACGAGGGGCGGACGCAAAGAAUUUGAGUUAGGAAGGCACAAUCAAAAUUUGUACUUGAUUUUGAAUGUUUAAUAUUUGAUCCGAAAAAUACAGAUUUACAUUUAAAAAAUAUUAUUCAUUAAUAUUUUCCUCAUCAUUUUCAUCUAUUUGAUUUUAAACAGUCAUUUUAUUAAUAUUUUGCUCAUCACAAGAAAAUGUAUAUUUAUAUUUUAAAGAAUUGUAUACUGAUAUAAACAAUUAAUUCAAAUAAUCGAAAUGAAAAACAUAAAACCAAUAUUCAAUACUAAUAAUCAGUCAAAUAAACACAAUUUGUUAGUUAUAAGUUAAAUUUUAUAUAAUCAGGUUAGGCAUGUGCUAUAUACAUAAAUAGGAUAGGGGAAAAUGCAAAUUUAGGUUCUAAUUAAUUGAAAAGUGAAAAUUUGUAGUAGAUAUGAUAAUUGUAGAGUAAACAAAUUUUAAAAAAAAAUUAGAAAUGUUAAAAUUUUGGUAAAAGGCGUGAGGGAGAGAAUACGAUAUUUAUAGAAAUCAAAAAGAGAGAAAAUUCAAAUUUAGUGUGAUUUUGCCCUUGUUUGGUGAGGAUUAAAGUCCAAUUUUUAGUAAAUUUUGAUAAAGUUUUAAAAGUUAAGGAAUCCAUGAAAUAUGUUAUUAAAACUAAUUGAACUUUAAUUUAGAUUAAAAUUUCAAUUUCAAUUGAUACCCCCCCAAGACCCCCCUUGGAUUCGCCAAUGGCUGGUACUCGAGACGUUGAAACCGUGACAUUUGUAGAGUUGCUUAAGCAACCAAUCGGGAUAACAUUGUAUCCUGCUGGGUAUGAAUUUACAGGAUAGGUAUAAAAUUUGUAGUUUCCAUAAUAUGUGGCCAUGAAAGGUAAAAAUGAAAGUUUAAUAAAGUUCAUCAUAAGCCUUAUUGGAAUGCAAUUAUUGGGACCAUAAAGGGCUAUUCAUUGGGUGUAGUACUUAAUAUAACACACAUAAAAAUCUCUAGAAAUGGAUUAUUUAGAGUGGGUAUUCUUUAAUCACUGCACGUUAUGUCUGUAUAGGAAUAAUUGUUUCUCGGUUCUAGGCCUUGUAAAUUAAAAGGGUGAUCUAUUUGGAUGUUGCCACAGAAGAAGUAUGAACAAACAUUCUCCGAAUGUAUGAUUGGGAAGGUUAAUGAGAAAAGAAAUAGAAAAAUAUUCCAGAGUGCCCAUAAUAUUUACAGGUAAUUAAGGUUGUAGAGGGACAAUUUCUUAGGCCGGAGAUUGAAAAGAUGAAGAAAAUUUCAAGAUGAGGACUUGCACAAUGGAUAUUAUUUUCGAGGUAAGCGAGACUAUGAAACAGCCUAGCUCAAUAUAAUAUGGUGUGGAUAUGGCUUGGGACAAUAAGCUACAACAAAAGAGGGCUCGGAUUUUCCUAAGUUAAGCUGAUAAUAGACAAAUGAUAUCUGACAAGUACUUCAAGCUGUGAAGUAAGUUUCCUAGUAAUAAAUAAAAAUUUUAUCUUAUAAAGAAAAAAUUUCUUUCAAAUGAGGAGAAUAGAAAUGUGGCAUCAUAAAUAAAAUAAAUAUAUUUCUCUUUUCUAACAAUUUAAACUCUUAAAUGAAGUGAUUCAAGAAAAGAGAAAACCACCAUGAACACGUCAAGUCUUUGAUGUGUGUUGAUGAUAAAAUAUAAAUAAAUUAACUCUUCUCUUCUAAUAACUAACAUUUUAAGUUGAUAAAAUAAUGAAUUAUAUAGGUCUAAAGUGUGAGCAAGAAGUUUUUUAGUUGAUAUCCUUUUCAGAUUUCUAGCACAUUGUUUUCUUUAAAAGCUUCAGCCAUGGAAAAUAAUGAUCUGUAUAUGAAAGCGAGUUACUAAUAUACUGUAACUUUUAUUAUUGAUUGCUAAUAUUUAACACAAUUUUCAUGAGAUUCCACUACAUUACCAAAAAUUGAGGUUACAACCUAUACCAGUCCCAGUGAAGAAGAGUUAUACAUUAAUAACUUAAACAUUCUACAUGGACAGAGAUAUGCAUUAACACACAUCAAAUGGCAGUUGGAAAGAAAAAGUAACAUCCAUUUAGUUGCGCUACACUGUACACGAUGUUGCACAACAUGAAUAUAGCGACUGGUGAAGUGUCUCAGUGUUCCAAGUCUUGACUAGUUUAGUCAAUGAGUUCGAGCUCCAAAAAAAAGCCUAGACAAGUAGAAGUUUCUAGCUUAUGAUCCAAAUAUACGCAUGAAAGGCCUAAAUUGCCCUUUUAAACAACGAAAAAAUUUAUUUAAAACAUCCUAAAUUUCAUCAUUCUUGUUGAACCCCCUCUAACCAAUCCCUUUCACCACAUUGUUGUUAUUUUAAAUUAGUGGAAAUAUUUUCUUAAUAUUUUUAGUCUAUACAGAAACAUUUAGUAAUUGUAAAGUAAGAAUAUGCUAUGCUCUGAUCACAUAAGAAAGUGAAGUUCUACAAAUUGGACAAGUGUUGUUCUUCUUUAACCAUAGAACAAUGCAGUCAUUGUGGAAGGAAUGCCCACAUUUAGCUAUCCUUCUUACUUUUUUUUCAGGAUUGUAUUCUAGGCAUAUUGCACAAGUGCUAUUGCUAUUCCUACUCCCUGAAGUGCUUUAAUUUUUCCCAACAACUACCAAUUCUAUACACAAUUCUAUAUUGGAGUCAUCAAGGCUUGUAAUCACGCUACCUUCUCUCGAUGUUAUUAUUGUGAGCAUGGUGGAUUGUGGCAAAGAAGCGGAGGCGUUAGAGUUGUGAUCUGCUGUUUCAAUGGCCUCAUUUCUUCCAACUGUCAGCUUGAUUAGACGCAUGCAACUUGAUACAAAGAGCAACGCCAGUAGAAGAAAAGAUGGAAUAAAGAAGGGUGAUUGAAAAUAUUCACCGUGAUCCUACUAAACAAAUAAACUCGUUAUUAAAGGUUAGAGAAGAUAUGAACAAAAUGAGUUAGAUCCCUAUGUCGACAACAAUAGAUUUCAUAAACUAUACUGAAUCUCUACCUGUUUCUUGAGGACCUGGUUGUUGACCACAAUCUUAGCAAUAAGAAACAUUCCAUGUCAAUAAAAUAUCACAAUAAAUUUCAUAUAACUGGUACUGACCACGGUACAUGACGGGGUAGACUGAACUACCAAUACUUUUGCACCCAAGAAAUUCAAAUGCUUGUGGUCACAUGUAGCAACAGUUGCAUUUGUAGAAUUGCUUGGGCAGCCAAUUGGUAAAGCAGAGUAUUGCUCUGGGUCUGAAUUUACAAGACAGGUAUAAAAUGUGUAGUUCUCGAAAUAUUCGGUCAUGAAAGGUGAAGAUGAAAUGUUCAUAGAGUUAUUCAUAAACCUUCUUGGGAGGCAAUUUCGGGGAUCAUAGAGUGCUAUUCUUCGGAUGUUGUAGUCGAUAUACCUCACAUAAAACUACCAGAAAAAUGAAGACUUAGAAUAGGUAUUCCUCGAUUACUGCAUGUCAGGUUAAUAUAGGUACAGUUAUUUCCUUGUUCUUGGCCUUUUAAUAUGAAUGGGUAAUAUAUUAGAACCUCUCCACCAAAAGAAGAUGGACAAGCAUACUCAAAAUGGACAAUUGGAAACAUUGACAAAAGAAAGAGAAGAAAUUUGAGAAUGCCCAUGUUUUCCUGCCUUCCAGCUAAUUGCGGAUGUAGAGCGGGAUGGACAAUGCACAGGCAGGCUUCAACUAUAAAUAUGCCCGUGGCAUUUUAUGGGAGGAUGCUAUGGACUUUACAUAGAUAUUUCACAUAGGACGGAUAGAUCUGAAAUAAUGAAUCCCUUGGUUUGUACUAAACAAACAAAUUAGAUGUCUCUGCUAUCCAUGGUCGAAAAUUGUAAUGGAGAAAAUAAUAUAUAUUUAUUUUCCUUGCAAAUUGCAGUGAAAUAAUAGAAGGUUUUGGCAGCGUUAACUAUUGUGUUUUGUUUGGAACCACCAGCAUUGGAUUGUGCAUUUUUUCGAACAUAAUCCCACAAAUAUUGUAUACAGUAGACAAAGAGCAUCUAUACUUGUAACACCCCAAAUCUAGAUACCUAGAUUUAGAAGUGAAAGUUAUACAAUUCGCCCCACAUAACACCUAGAGGGGGGUGCAUAGGUAGUUGCAUGGAAUUUACCAAAUUUCAGUUAAUAAUUGCAUCACAGUAUGAUUAUUAAUUAGUCCAGUCCAAUUCACAUGCAAUGUACCCUAUGUUGAAUUAAUGCAGUAUAAUAAAUUGCUGGAAAGUAAAGAACACAUAAAAUUUGAUGACGGAGAAACCCUAAACUGGGUAAAACUCUAUGCACAAGCCAGUAUGAAUCCACUAUAAAUGAACACAACUUACACCAGACUAAACCAAUACACAUUCUUUCUAUCGUCGUGUACCGCAAUAUUCAAAACCCUCCUGGGUUGCAUGCUCCUGCACCAACUCCCAGAUUUUGAUCUCAUCUAUCUCCAGUGGAUUACCUGAGAAUUCUUCGUUCUCCAACGAUCAGAACUUUGGUUACCUUCCUUGAUCUUCAACUCUUGACAGAUCAUCUGAAAGCUUUUGAUUUUGGAGUUUGAAUUUCAGGUUUUGAUGUUUUUCAAUCACCAAAGUUGAUGAAGAAUGGAUUGUAUAUUUUUUAAGGAUGCAAGUGGUUUGUCUAAUGGACAAUCUAAGCUUUUUUGUGAAACGGCACAGAUACUUAUAUGUGGAAUGUUUUGGGUAGUCUGGAAUUGCUAAAACUCUCAAAAAAAUGAGAAUUAGUGUUUUGCAGGAAAAAUCGACCAUCUAGUGAAAAGCUAGUGGUGAUCUUUCGCUCGACCUAAGGCUUGGCGAGAAGCCAGGGACGUUCUCUAUACAUGUGCCACUCGAGCAGUGUGUUAGCAUGAAUCAAAUGAAAAUGUGGCGAUCCUUCCUUCCUUGUUUUGAUAUUAAACCCUAACCUACCAACAUUUUUUACAAUACUGCAACGACUCCUCGACUUUAACACUGUUUCAAUUUGAACCUUUUUGUUCACAAAACUACCAAUCACAAGUAAACCUAACAAGAAGUAUUAUAAUUUAAUUUCCUCUUAAAACCAUAAAUGCGAAAACUGAUUAUAAAUAUUUCUUUAACAUAAAAAUAUUAACGACUUUCAUUUAAGGAAAGAAUUUUAGAAAACAUUUAUGUUUAAUAAAAAUAUAAGAUGGUCGAAUUAAAUAUUAAACUUAUUUCAACUUGAGUCAACAUUAAAUGUAUCAGUACCGAGUCCGUCUCACCACAAGUAGUCUUCUCGAAUCAUCUUGCCUUCAUCAUCUGAAAUUUGAGAGGAUAACGUGGAAUAAGCUAACGCUCAAUAAGCAAACUUCAUGCAUAUGAUGUAUGAUUGUGAUAUGCACAUGAAUUACUUUAAGAUAAAUGUAUUUCUCAAUAUGUAUCAUAUUUCUUUCAUUUCUUUAAAAACUUAACUUUGACAUCGUGAGCUGACUUGGUGUAUCGCCUAGCCAACCAGAAUGCGGUGCGCAAUUAUUAUUUGGAAUCUGACCAAAUCCUACCGGUGGUACCACAAAGCAGUUAACAUUAACAUUAUCUUUGAAUAUUAAACAUUGAUCAUUGGUCGAGUGCGUCGGUCCCCCAUUAUCAUUGAAUAUUAAACAUUGAUCAUUGGUCGAGUGCGUCAGUCCCCCACGCUCCAUUUCCCACUCACAUCUUUCAUAACAUAGACAUAUACCUUGUAACAAAAUAUUUGGGAUACACAUCUUUUUAAGACAUUCAUUGACUCAUUGACAUUUGAAAACUUUUUUUUUUUUUAAACUUCCUGUAUGCUCAUGGAUGCAUAUGUCAUGAGAAAUUAACUUUUCUUGAAUGGCAAAGUGUGGAUAUCCCUAGCCACCUAUGAAGCCAAUGUACCAAAAUCCGAUUUCAUUACCUUUUAUUUAAUAACUUUGACAAAUUUACAAUUGAAAUGUAACAUGAAUCAUUACUCUAUUAAAUUAACUGAUUUAUUAUUGUUGUUGUAAAAAUAGAAAUAAAACCUACGUGUGAAUAGGAUUGACAUUCCUAUCAAUUUUAAAGUUAAAAUCACUCGUCAUUCAAAUAGGUAAUAAUUUGUUCAAUAAUUAUAAAAAUAAUAGAUUAGUAAUUGUUAAAAUAAUAAAUCCUUAUAUAACAUCUUUAAAAUAAUAAAUCUAUUUUCCUACAAAUUUUAUAUAACUGCACACAAUCUGUGCACACAAAUACAAAUUUAUAGAUAUACUGGCACAUAUAAUGUGCACACACUCAUCUAUACAUAUACAUACAACAUAUAUUUAUAUAUAUAUACACACACGCGCGCAAUCAAUGGCACGCUCAUUUCAUGUAUAAAAUGAAAUAUAAACAUUAUUUUAAUACUAAUCAAAUAAAAUGUCAUGAUUGCUUUUGAAAAAUUAAACAAUUGAGCAAAAUAAUAAAUAAAUUUUCAUACCUUACCACCAUUCUAAUUUUCCAGAAUUCAAAAUGCCAAUUCAUUCAUGAAUAUGAUGGAGCCGAAUUUAACAUGUAAGGCGGUGAAGAAAAUAGGUAAAGUCUUAUUUUCUAACUUAGUGACAAUUAUUAAUUGGCAUAAUUUAUGGAAAUAAAUUUUAACACUCCUUAUUUAUCUUAUUAACUUAUUUAAAUCCUUUAAUUAUUUUAUUGGUUUGAAACCCAUUUUGUUGUUCAAAUAAUAAUUUUAUAUUAAAUUACUCAAAAAUGCACUUAUUGAAAAGAGGAAAUACAUCUAAAUUCAAUACAAAAACAAGAAGAGUUAAGAUCACAUAGUAAACCAAUGUAUUAUGUAAUUUAAUCAUAUUAAGCUUAAGUUAAUAGUCACAUCAAUCAUUUAGAGUGUCUAGAACACAUUUAAUUAUAAAAAAUAUAUAAUUAGUCACGAUAAAUAUAUUUAUAUUAAUUAAGAAAUAAAUUAAACAUUAAUAAUAAUCUAGAUAGACAUGAUAAAUAUGAAAGACAAGCAUGUGUUGUUACAACACUUACUUAGAGAAUGUUUAGUAUGGCCUUAUUCUGGCAUUAAAAGGAAGGAUAGUUGGCAAAAACUAAGUGACUUUCGGAUUUAUGUUUUGAGCUUUCAGUAACAUCUCGAAUUAUUCUGCAUUAAAUGUGUUACAUCUGCUCCCGGCGCGGACGCCACAUAGGUAGGAUCGGACCAUGUGCAAUGAUCAUCACAGCCACGUAUGACUAAUGGAGGACCCAACACCAACCGUUGGCCUACUGACUCAUGGCCAAAGGAAUAACGAACCAAGUUCCUUAAGAUGACCAUUUCGCAUUUCCCUUUUUUCCUUGUUCUUUUUCUAUCAAAGAAAACUUAAAAAUUAGUCUGUCAAAUAUCCAACUAUAUUGACCAUCAUCUGUUAAGUUUCCCCAAAAAAAAGAAAUGCUUUUGAUUGAAGGACUCAAUUGUAGUUGCUCUCAUGCCUUGUAGUUUGGACUUUGGAGUUCUUUUCUGUUACCAAAAUACACGACUUCUUUCAUAUCUUGUGUACGAUGAAGAAAAUUGGUCAGCAGUUCACUAUAAAUUAAAAGGGUAAUUAGCACAAAACGUCCCUACCUUCCGACGUUUUUUUGGAAAACGUCUCUAUCUUUCAUUUUUUGGCGGAUUACACCCCCACCUUUACUUUUUUUUGCGCAAAACGUCCUUCUAUCAACUCCCCGUUAAAAUGCUCCGUUAAAUCAAUGGCUAAUUAGCACAAAAGGUUCCUACCUUUUCAAUAUUAUUGUGUAAAACGUCUAUAUCUUUUAUUUUUUGGCAUAAUUAGCACAAAAAAUCCUUACAUUUCAAUGUUAUUGUGCAAAACGUCCCUACCUUUCAUUUUUCAACAUUUUCACCCCUACCUUUCACCUUUCAUUGGGAUAAUUGGCACAAAACGUCCCUACCUUUCAAGUUUAUUGUGGAAACGUCCCAACCUUUCAUUUUUUGGUAUUUUUGUCCCUACCUUUUACAUUUCUUUGCGCAGAAGGAUUUUUUCAUUAGUUUUUGACAAUUUUACCCUCCAUUCAAAUAAAAAAAAUAAAGAACUAAUUGCAAUAAUAGUCCAAAAAUUUCGAAAAAAUGACAAAUCGGUCACAAUUUAUUGUGAACUGAAAAAUUUUUAAANACAAUCUGAAAAUAUAUUACAAGUAAAAUUCCCGACGCCUUUAAGGAGAUUUUCUUUUUCUGCAUUUUAUUUCUAGUUUAGCGGGCUUGCGUGCCCAUGCAUGUUUUCCGUUCUCUUUUGUAAUGAACUACGUUCGACUUGAUUCCGUUUGGAUACGUAGGCAGCUUGGAUGCAAUAUAAAUCCAAGUCCAGUCCAAACAAUCAAUAAAUCUAAACAUCGGGUAUAACAGCCCCUCCAAGCCUUGUCUUUGACAAGCCAAUAUAAGUCUUGCCCUCAAGCAAGCCCUUUUAAGCCUUGUCUUUGACAAGCCAAUAAAAGUAUUGCCCUCGAGUAAGCCAAUUUAAGCCUUGCCCUCAAGCAAGCCCCUUCAAGCCUUGUCUUUGACAAGCCAAUAAAAAGCCUUGCCCCAGGCAAGCACUCAAAAAGCCUUGCCCCAGGCAAGCACAUUAAAAAGCCUUGCAAGCACUCAAAAAGCCUUGCCCCAGGCAAGCACUCAAAAAGCCUUGCCCCUGGCAAGCACAUCAAAAAGCCUUGCCUCAAGCAAGCACCAAAGCCUUGCCCUACGCAAGCACAAAAGGCCUUGAUCAUAUACUCAAGUGUAAACCAUUAAAGUAUCGCCCAGGGAAAUACAAAAAUCCCACAUUAUUUUGGACACCCUUGAGAAUCUCACAUUACAACCUUUUAAAGUUAGUGUGCUCGAGGAUCACCGUCCUCGAGGAAAUCACAACCCAACUUUUUAAGGUUUAGUUGUGCUCGAGGAUUACAGUCCUCGAGAAUGUCACAAUUUAAAGUUUAGUUGUGCUCGAGGAUUACAGUCCUCGAGAAUGUCACUCAUUUUUUAAAGUUUGGUUGUGCUCGGGACUACGGUCCUCGAGAAUGGCCUCAUUUUUUAAGACUAAUUGUUCUCGAGGUUUACAGUCCUCGAGAAUGUCACAUCAUCAUAUUUUUGUGCUCAAGAAUGUACGUCUCACCUUUUAAUCCCUUAAAUACGCUCGAGUUGUGGAAUCCUCGAGUAAACACUUCAAUAUCGCGUGAGCAGUAAGUUUCGAAUUUG